RNAcentral lists this ribosomal RNA (225 nucleotides) under Cyclophora tenuis. RNAcentral's name for it is "partial Bacterial small subunit ribosomal RNA". It matches the Rfam family "Bacterial small subunit ribosomal RNA", at positions 470 to 695 of the family's 1533-position model. The record is from RNAcentral. Lineage: Eukaryota; Bacillariophyta; Fragilariophyceae; Cyclophorales; Cyclophoraceae.
UGAGCGAUCCUCAGAGGAAGUACGGGCUAAGUUCGUGCCAGCAGCCGCGGUAACACGAACCGUACGAACGUUAUUCGGAAUUAUUGGGCUUAAAGAGUGCGUAGGCGGCCUAGCAGGUUGGGUGUGAAAUCCCUCGGCUUAACCGAGGAACUGCGCUCAAAACCGUUAGGCUAGAGGGAGAUAGAGGAGAGCGGAACUAAUGGUGGAGCGGUGAAAUGCGUUGAU